CUGCCUUUCUCGACUUGGGAUCCCGGAUCCCCAGGUCUCAAACAAUCGUUUGUUUUUUCCUGUCGCUCUCACAGAGGUACUGUAACUGUAAAUAAGCACCGGGGAAAAAAAAAAAAAAGUUUUAAGCAAACAAAAAGCACUGACUUGCACAUUCACCAUGCUUUAAAGUCCCUAUGGAGAGAGAAAAACAAAAACAAAACAAAAACUGUACAUCCUGAAAACGUUCCUCUUUCCCAACUGGUAUGUGAAGGAAGUCCCCCAAAAAAGAGGCAAAAAUGGUAUUGUCUUAACUGAUGUAUCAAUUCUUGUCGGAUUAAAAGCUGUUACUAUUCCUGC
This is a long non-coding RNA of Ficedula albicollis (Collared flycatcher), 336 nucleotides long. RefSeq lists it as uncharacterized. The record is from RefSeq and is a predicted model, not a curated record. Lineage: Eukaryota; Metazoa; Chordata; Aves; Passeriformes; Muscicapidae. The transcript is spliced from 2 exons.